Molecule: long non-coding RNA, 2091 nt
Organism: Acipenser ruthenus (sterlet)
Lineage: Eukaryota; Metazoa; Chordata; Actinopteri; Acipenseriformes; Acipenseridae
Exons: 6
Source: RefSeq, a predicted model, not a curated record
UGUGCGCGAGGUGUGUUGCGGGAGAUAUGCUUGAGCAAGAGAGAGAGAGACAGAGAAAGAGGAAAGUUUUGAAAAUAUGGCGGCACGCUAUUGAAGACCACAAGUUUAGCUGUGAUUUGUUUGUUUUCGCAAGUAUAGUUGUUGGAUGUUUUACAGAAUAAAGAAAAAUAACGAACUAUUCGAGUGAGCUGUGUUUCAGUGUUGCGGUGAGAGCUGUGGCUGGAGUGCGUGUGGAACCUGGGGAGACGUGUUGCUGCCGAAUUUACAUCGGAGGAAGUAGAGCCAGUCUUCUGGUGCAGGCGGAGCGGAGAGGUCGAGUGGGGGUGUAGGGAGAGAUGAGGGUCUGGAGGUAGCUGGGUGCAGUCUGGUCAGUAUUAGACUUGCAUUGUUAUGUCUACAUGGUAACACAAACAUACUGGUCUCGCAUGGGAACUUCCUUCUUCUUAUUGUCGUUUCUGCCAAGUUACAAGUGCUGCUACAUUUGUAAGCAAUCGAUGUAAAGUUUCCAGUUGGGUAGCUCUCGCAGGUGAGGUGUGCUUUUAAGGAUCUGGCCGUGGAUUUCCUCACUGGGACACUGGGGAGCUCAUAUUAUUUAUUUUCUUAGCAGACGCCCUUACCCAGGGCGACUUAGAGUUGUGAUUGUAUUUUGUAAUUUGUGUUUUGUGACUGUAUUUUUAUUAAUAUUGUGUUUAAAAUACAGGGAUAAUCACAAAAUAUACAGUUUUCUAUAUGCUUUCACAUAAAAUAUAUAAUAUAUCUCAUCAUGAUGGGAUUAUGAUCUUAAUGUCAUCAACUACAUAUAAUUUUGUGUCAAUCAUUUAUUUUCUCAUUAAUAACACAGUUUUGUGGGAGGUUGAUUAAUGCAUUUAAACACAAUGACGUUAAUUCACCCAUAUUGAAAGACGCUGUGAUGCAUUUCCCUACGGUGGCCCUGAAGUGCAAAACGAAAAAAAAAAAAACUGGUGUGAAUUUUUUUUAAAAAAGGUAGCAAAAAUAAUAAAAUGUGAGCAUUUUAAAAAAAGGUUGACAAAAAACACAUUGUCAGCAUUUUAAAAAAGGGUGGCAAAAAAAUGUGAGCAUUUUAAGAGUGGCCAAAAAAAUGUUUGUGAACAUUUUAAAAGUGUGGACAAAAAUGCGCAUUUUUUUUUUUCAAGGGGGCGUAAUUUAUAAAGGGGUGUAAUUUUUUUAAACGUGUGUGAAACUUUGUAGAUGCGCUACAAAUAAAAAAUGUGUGCCAGAAAUGACGUAAGAGUACUUCCGGGUCUAAAACAGGAAGUUUUCACAAGAUUAACUGACUUGUUCCGCAUUCUUUUGCAGUUUUAGCGCCAUAUUAUACGUGACGGGCAUUUUCUACCCCCAUUGACUGAACAUACGCCCAAAAUAGAAGCUGUUAGGGAACUACACUGAGGUAUUUGCACCAAUCCCUCUCAGUGAUGACAGCAGUGUUGAAGACACAGAAGAAACUGUGAUAGGUGAUAGAGCUCAAGAAAGCCAUAUUACAAUAAGUAACAUCAUAGAAGAUUUAUUUCUUCAAGUCAAUAAUGCAGCCUGCAGUCGCUUUAUAAUUAAGAGAGCUGAUGUCUGGGAUGGAGCGAUGCGGGGUUUCCGUAGAAGUAACUAUGAACCCCAGAAUUCCAUGAUGGUGAAAUUUACGGAUGACAUUGGAGUCACUGAAGAAGGAAUUGAUACAGGAGGACCAAAACGGGAGUUCCUUGGUCUUCUAAUGGAUCACUUGCAUAAACAUCCCGUAUUUGAAGGACCAGAAACACAAAGGUUUCUUAAAUAUGAUGCAACUGGUGAGAAGAAUGACGAAUACUUCAUGGCUGGAAGAAUAAUUGUUUUUCAUCUGGCUGGCUGCAAGACAGUCAUUAAAGAAUUGGACGACAAGGAGAAACUAGUUGAAGACUUUCUUAAGUGGUAUAUAAUAAAAAGAAAUGCAUUUGGCAUCGAGCGGAAAUUUGUCGCCGGAAGGACCAUCACUGCGUGAUAUUCUCCAGUUUGCUACCGGCCUGUCCUCCAUUCCACCUUCUGGUUUCCAUCUGCGUCCAUCAGUACAGUUUCUUCAUAAUGGGUCACCAUAUCCCAUUGCUA